UACGGAGGAUGCAAGCGUUAUCCGGAAUGAUUGGGCGUAAAGCGUCCGCAGGUGGCUAUGUAAGUCUGCUGUUAAAGAGUGAGGCUCAACCUCAUAAAAGCAGUGGAAACUACAUGGCUAGAGUGCGUUCGGGGCAGAGGGAAUUCCUGGUGUAGCGGUGAGAUGCGUAGAGAUCAGGAAGAACACCGGUGGCGAAAGCGCUCUGCUAGGCCGCAACUGACACUGAGGGACGAAAGCUAGGGGAGCGAAUGGG
Molecule: ribosomal RNA, 253 nt
Filed under: uncultured bacterium
Lineage: Bacteria
Description: partial 16S ribosomal RNA
Rfam family: Bacterial small subunit ribosomal RNA
Source: RNAcentral